AACACAAAACCUAAGUAGAGAAAAUACUCAAAGGGAGUAAAGAUGAUCAGCAAGUCUAGGCUCCACAACAAUUUCUAAUGGUAUUUUCUUAGGUGUAGAAAGCCCAAAAAUCUCCUCCAUAUUCAAAUCCUCCUUUUUCACAUUAUUAGGUAAUGUCCAAUUAAAUCCAUGCAACAAAUUAGCCAAACUUGUUUGAAUCACCUUAAUACCAAGAGGGUAACCAGGACACAUCCUUCUACCAGCACCAAAUGGUAACAACUCAAAAUCAUGUCCUUUUACAUCUAUAUCUUUACCAAGAAACCUCUCAGGCAUAAAUUCAUAUGGAUUCUCCCAAACCUCAGAAUCUCUUGCAAUUGUCCAAGUAUUGACAAGAACUAUAGUCCCUUUGGGAAUAUCGUAACCAUCAACUUUGCAAUCCUCUCUAGCUUCUCGUGGCACUAAAAAUGGUGCCACGGGAUGUAGCCUCAUUGUUUCUUUAGCAAUUGCGUAAACAUAAGGUAAAUUCGCAAUGUCUUUCUCUUCAACCCAUCUAUCUUUUCCUAUCACUCUAUCUAGCUCCUCGGUUGCUUUCUUGAAGAUCUCUGGUUUUCUAACCAGCUCGGAGAUUGCCCAUUCUACUGUUACUGCGGAGCUCUCCGUCCCUCCGGCAAUUAAGUCCUGAGGAAAAAAAAUACAUAACAAAUAAGUUAGCACAUGAAAAAAUUUAAAUCGUUAAAAUGUGUCAGGUCGGACCAACCCAUUUAACAAGAGCAAAAUUUAGAGUUGUAUAUGCUAGUAAUUUUCGUCUGUCUUCUAAAACUAAUUUGUGUAUCUCUUAAAUCGAUGGAUUCAUUGAGCUAGCACAACAAAACAUACUUAAUUAGGUUAAACUUGGCACCACUUGUAUAAUUAGUAAAUAAAAAAUAUACAGACAUAAGGGUAACAAAUGUGGCAAGAUAAGAGCAAGUUAAUUUAGUUAGCCCCACGAAUACAAUAUAUUGAAUAAAUAAGUGAUAUUUGGAGCUAUCAAGCAAAACUGGAAUUGCGUUAAACAGUUAAUCUCUAAAUUAUGGUUUGGAUUUUUGUUUUAGAAAUAUGACUUUUCAACUUCCCAUCAUUUCCACGAAGAUGCAAGCAUCAAUUGGACCACCCACCCAUGCACUAAGGAUAAUAAUUUCUAUUUUGAAAAAUUGACAUGAUAUUUAUUUAAUACUUAAUAGUAUUAUUUAGGUGGAUUGUCUAAUCAUUGAAAAAAGUAAUUUCAUAAUUAAACAAAGGAGUAUUCUCAAUCAUAAACGUAACCACCUAAAAGAAAAUACCACACCAAAAAAGAACUAAAGAAAAUAAAAGAUUCAAUCACUUCAUACCUGAGUAAAAGCUUUGACUCCAUGCCUCUCCAGUUUGACUUCAAGAUUAGGAUCCUCAGCAAGCUGCAAAAGUACAUCCACCAUAUCUUUAGCAACAUAAUCCUUCACAUUUUUCCUUCUUUCAAUGUGUUCUUCCAAUACAUGUUCCAUAAACCUAUCAAACUUUUUACUCAAAGUCUUCAUCCUCUUCACAUAACCUUGCAAGUCUAAGAAAUGAAUCCAAGGAAUAAAAUCCCCAAUAUUGAGAAUUCCAUUAAGUAAAAACAACUCAUCCAACAUCUUCUUAAACUCAUCAGGGGAAAUAACUGCAUUAUCAGUCUUUUCCAAGUACUUUUUCCCUAGCACCAUUCGACUUAUAACAUUUAGACUCAAAGUUGAAAGAUGGUCUUUCACCAAAAUUGUUUUGUUUUUUGAAUUGAAAAGUUUAUGCAAAAAAUCAUGCAUCUCUUGUUUUCUUAUGUACUCGUAAGACUCGAGGCGUUUUGCACUAAACAACUCCAAUAGACACAUUCUACGAGCUUGACGCCAAUAUGGACCAUAUUGAGACCAAGUUAUGUCUGAAUAGUUAUAUGUUGUGUAUUUUCCAGCCGACAAUUUGGGCCGGCCGGCAAGAGUAGCAUCAUGGGUUUUGAGGAAUGAUUUGGCUAGUUCUACGGUGGCGCCCACAAUGACGGGUUUCGAGCCGAAAUAUAGAUGCAUGAUGGGUCCAUAUUUUUGAGUGAGGCCAUGGAGGGAUUGAUGUGGGAGGGAUCCGAUAAGGUUGAGAUUUCCAAUUAUAGGCCAUGGUUUUGGGCCUGGUGGUAGAUUGUAUUUGUGGCGGCGGAGGCGGCGGCUGAAGAGGAGGAGGAUGACAAAUGUUGCAAACAAUGUGACCCAACUAGGAAGUUCCAAUAAUUGCACUGGCUCCAUAAUUGGUCGAUUUUGUGACUUUCUUUUGGUGUGAAAUUAGAGAGGGUUAUGUGAGUGAGUUUGAAGGGUGUGUGUGGGUCAUUAUUUAUAUGCAUGUGAUAGUGAGAAAGCAAUAGCUCGAGGACCCACAUGAGGUUCAACAAACUUUCCAUCAAUACACAUGUUUCUUGGUGAUCGGGCAUGUAUAAGGGACUAUUUUUCCACUCACAUGAAUCAAAUAAUACUACUCUAAUCAAUAAACAAAGCUUAACGAAGACUCCAUUCAUACAUAUAAAGUUGUUUUUAUUCGAACUCAUAUUUUUCGGAACGACUCCUUGUUAACAAAAGUUUAUUAAACAACAAUAUUUACUUAAUUAUCUCCAAAUAUUUUUGCCAACAAUCUCCAAAUGUUUUUAUAGGCAAAAUUCAAAUAUAUGUGUUAGUGAAACUCAAUGUUCAAAUUAAGGAAAUUAAAAGUAGACAUGACAACAUGAACCACACUCGCUUGAACCCAUUUGAGUUAGUCUCGACUUUGAUGGAAAAUCCUCCCUUUAAUUGGGCGAGGGUGUGGGAUUUAUCUAUUAUUCUAAAUUAGGGUUAUGAUGUUGAUAUCUUCUUCGGAGCUGUCUCAUUAGUAAAAAGUAUUUUUUCAGAUACAUAUAUUUAUUCAUUUUAUUUAAUAUUUAUUUAAUUAUAUAUUGUAAAUUUUAAUUUCUUCUUGAUAGAAAAUAUAAUUUUAAUAUAAUUUUAUUGUAUAUAUCUAUGUCAGGAAUGCAGUGGUAGAGGGAGGAGUGGCCCCUAAGUUCUAUGGCCACCAUCAUUUAUUUUUGAGAGGACCACCAUAAAAUUUUAAAUUUUACUUUUAACACUCAAGAUAGAUAAACUAUAAAACAUUAUGAGCAUGUAACUUUAAAAGUCCCAAUGGUGCAAUUCAACAAGAGUAUGUUGCCACAUUGCCACCUGUCAAACAAUUAUUUCAGGAAGUAACAAUGCCGCCACAUUGUCGAUCUUUUGUUGAACUCUAGUGUCCUUAAGCUUCAUGUAUUGUUAUAAAAUUAUUUACUUAAACGUAGAAAACAUACAUCAUGUCCACUAACUUAUUCUGAUAAAUAUAAAUUAAUUAGGUAUAACUAACCCAUUCAACCUUAUUUUUACAAUAGUAACUUAUAUUAAAUUUAAGGUCAUCUUGUCCGUUUGCAAGCAGGAUCCUGGCAAAUCGAUAAAACUUUAUUUGUUAAAACAAGAAUAAGUGGGCCCAUCUAAAAUAAUUGAAGAGUAAGUGGAAGACAAUUGACCUGUAUAUUUUGAUCUUUCAAAAAUAAUUUCGAGUUGCCAAACUAAAAUGGACUCACUGCCUAUUGUUUCUUGGAUUGUUGCCAUUGCAAUUUCACAGAAAUUUCAAUAUUGAUUUAUUGACUUAGAAUUUGCAAAGUAGUUUAUUCCAUUGACCUUGACUCUUGACUCUUGAGUCUACAUUCACAUAGUGUAACGGUGUUAUUUCUUGUUCAUACUCGGCGGUCUCAUAAACUUUGUCAUGUUAGGUUGUGUAUAACCCUAACUAAUUACAGUCUCUAAUAUACUAUUUUUUAUUAUGAAUAGCCAAAACUAUGAUUAGAUAAUGCAAAAUAUAGAAGAAUAUAGAUAAAAUAGACAAGAAAUAAGAAUAAAAUAUUUGCUUUAUACUCCUUAAGUCCGGUGUCUCUUUACAAUGCAAUGAGUCCUAUUUUUAAGACAUAAACCUUAUAGGUUACAAGUAAGUGAAAAAUCACAUUGAAGACAAUUAACGAUUAAUAGGUCAUCCACUCAUGAAAAUUCUUGAUCAUACUAGUGGAAGACUAAAGAAAACGGGCAUCCACAAAUACAUAUGUUUAAAACACACCCCUUCAAUGAAACCUGGUACAUACAUAGUACGGGUGUGAGUAAGAUAUGUAUGUUUAAAUAUGUAUAAAAUUUAAAAUUCAAGAUACGAUACACCUAAGAAACAUUAAUGAAUUUUUUAUCUUAAAAUUUAUAUGCAUGUAAAAUAUUUGAAAGAAAUAAGCAUCGAUUAAUCUUCAUUAAUAUAUAAUUAUAAAAUUACAAAUUAUAAAGCGAAACUCAUCAACUUUGCUUUUAACUACCAAAUGUGGUGGCUCAAUCUCUUUUAUGUUUGUGAUUGUUUCUUUGCUUUCUUGUUGGUGAUUUUCACCUAUUCUGAUGUAACAUUACUUUUUCUUUGUUUCUCUCUAGCACUCCUUGUGCAAAGAAAGUAAAGUCAUUUAGUUAUAUGUAAUUCUAUUAUAGCUUCUUAAAAAAAAGGGUAAUUUAAGUUUUUGGUCCCUAUAAAUAUCUGCAGUUUUGUUUUUAAUCCCUAUAAAAAUAAAUCACACUUUUUUAGUCCCUACAACAUUUUCCGUUAGUGUUUUUAGUCCCUGUUAAAUUAAAAUUUGUUUAAUUAUGCUUUAAAUUUUAAAUUUUUUAAUGUUUUUUUACAUAGUUGUUUAAAACAUUAUACAAGGUUCCGCCACAAUAAAUUAGCUCAAAAUUUUAUUUUUAGGUUCAAAUUUUUGUUAGUUUUAUCUUGAAUUUUUGGCGUUUUAAAAAAAUUAUAUUUAAUUUAUUACAUGUUAAAAAAUUCUAAUUUUUUAUAAAAGAGAUUAUUAUAAUGUUCUUAACAUGUCUGUUAAAAAUCAUUUAAAAAUAUAAAAGUUUAAGUAUAAUUAAACAAAUUUCAAUUUAACAGGAACCAACACAUACUUUUAGUCCUUGUAAAAUUAAAAUUUGCUUAAUUGUGCUUAAACUUUUAAAUUUGUAACAUAUAUUUUUCACAUACUUACUUAGAAUAUUAUACAAAGUUUCUCCGCAAAAAAGUAACUUAAAAUUUUAUUAUUAGGUCCAAAUUUUCAUUAAUAUAAUCUUGAAAAUUUGGCUUUUAGAAAAAGGCUAAAAUAUGGUUUUGGUCCCUGCAAAUAUGUCUCGUUUUGGUUUUAGUCCCUGCAAAAAAAGAUUGUUGUUUUUAGUCCCUGCAAAUAUGCCUCAUUUUGGUUUUGGUCCCUGGCUCCACUUUUGUGAUGAUUUGCACACGUGGCACAUGAUGACUGAACCCAUUUAUUAGAGAAAUAGUCUCUGCAAAAUCUUUUGAUUUUGAAAAAGGUCCCUGCAAAAUAUUUUGUUUUUGGAAAUAGGCAGGGACUAUUUCCAAAGACAAAAUAUUUUGCAGGGACCAAAAACAACAAAUUUUUUUUACAGGGACUAAAACCAAAACGAGGCAUAUUUGCAGUGACCAAAACCAUAUUUUAGCCUUAGAAAAAUUUAUAUUUAAUUCAUUACAUGUUAAAAAACUAAUUUGUUUUACAAAAGAGUGUCUUACGAUGUUAUGAACAUGUUUGUAAAAAAUCUUUCAAAAAUUUAGAAGUUUAAGCAUAAUUAAACAAAUUUUAAUUUAACAGGGACUAAAAACACUAACAGAAAAUUUUGUAGGGACUAAAAAGUGUAUUUAUUUUUAUAGGGACUAAAAACAAAACUGCAGAUAUUUAUAGGGAUCAAAAACUUAAUUAAUCCUAUAAGUAUUCGAUAAAAUAUUUUAAAAAUUAAUUUUGAUAUUUCGUAUGCAUGUAUCAGUGAAUAUCCGCAAAGUAUUAAUAUCUAAUAUGGAUAUAUCUCCAUAUUUGAUGUAUUUAGCUUCAUAAAUCUCCCUUAUAUGUCAAUUGCGAAUGUGCAUCGUUAGAAUCUUAAAAAAAAAAAACUCAAUUAAACAAUAAUCUUACUGAAGAAAAAAAAGAGCAGCAUCUACCUCCUCUACAUAAAAACACGUGUCAUUAAAAACCUUACUUGAAAAUUCAAUGAGAAUGUAUGUGUUUCUCCCAAUAUCAACUAUACUGUAAUCUCUUCGAUGACAAAACUGUUAAAAAGACUGUUGUAGUCAGAUGCUUGUAGAGGUUGGUAAUAGUCAGGUUCCUCGACAAGGCACUUUUGAUCAAAACUGUUAAAAAAGAUCAAAGUUUGUACUGUUGAUGGUACGAUGAGACUAGAGCAAAAACAAACAUGUUUCUUGGACCGAACAGUAAAUGGAGUCUGGCAUGACUUUGACAAGUAAUACACCUUCCGUUUUAAAACGAGUAACGUUUAAGAUUUUUAUAUACAAAUUAAGAAAUAUAAUAAUGAUGUUAAAAAAUAUGACAAUUUUACUAAACUAAUACUAUUUACCAUUGGUGCAAGUUUUUGGAAGUAAUGUAUAUUUAAUUAAUUAGAGAGUACAAUUGGAAGUAAAAUAAUAAUUCUACAUUAAAAAGUGUAACUGACAUUCAUUUUAAAAUAAUUUUAUUUCGCUAAAACGAUACUCAUUUUAAAAACUGAGUGAGUGUAAAACAUUUGGAGAGGUGGUUACUAUAAUCGUAGCUUAGUUAGAUGGUUAUAGUGGUUUAAAUUGGAUUAAAUCUUUUAUAGUGGUUUAAAUAUUAAAGAUGGUAGAAUCUCUCUUUUAUAUAGUGGAGAACUUUAGAUAUAACAAUAAUUGAUAGUGAACCAAUGUAAAAAUAUGUUUUCGGUGGCGGAGUCAGAAAAAAAAGUUUGGGUGGGCCACAAAAAUUAUCCGUUGAAAAAUUGUUUAAAGUCUUGCAAAAUAGACAUAUAAUUGAAUUGUUUAAAUUUUUGGGUGGAUCACUACACCACUUUGCGGGAAUUUAGAUUAACCGAAAACUGAUAUAAAAUUUUAUAAAAUCUCGCAAAAUAGACCUAUAAUUGAAUAUUUAAAUUUUUCGGGUGGGUCACUACAUCACUUUUCGGGAAUUUGGAUCAACCGAAAUCUAAAACCGACACAAAAUUGUAUAAAAUCUCGCAAAAUAAACCUAUAAUCGUUGAUUUUUUAAUUUUUCGGAUGGGCCACAACCAUUGUGUUCUUCUUUUCCAUUUCUCUUUUUAUCUUUGUAUUUUUUUUAAUGUCUUUAAAAAUGUUUUUCAUCGAAGUCUUUUAAAUUAAGGAUUAACUGAUAGUUUAAAGAAGAAAAAUAGUCUACACAAUUCAAACUCAUUCAAUGUGUUUUCUAGCACAUUCCCUUCUAUGCAAUAAGGAAUGUCACAUAGUUUUUUUUCUAUCCGUAGUUUCUAAGAAAACAAAUAUAAGAGUACCAAAUGGAUUCCAUCAAAAAACAAAAAACAAGAGAGAACAUAAUAUACUUUUUUUUUAAUAUUACAACUUUUUUUUUUUUGGUGUCCAAGGCUCGAAUCCUGGACCUUACGUAUAUUAUGUAUUGUCCCUUCCAACUGAGUUAAGCUUACGGAGACAAAUAAUAUUACAACUCUGAAAAGGGACUCAUUUUUCUUUGACAAAAUCAAGGGGACUCAUUACUAACUUCAACAUUCAAACACCAAUAUUUUUUAUUCACAGUCAUGCUUGUUUUUUUUCUUGUCAUUAAGUUAAUGACAUUGAACUCACACAAAUCCCAUUAUUCCCAAUCUUAUUAAAGAAAAAUUCUUAGAGGGAGUAAAGAUGAUGAGGAAGUCUAGGCUCCACAACAACUUCUAGUGGUAUUUUCCUAGGAGUAGUCAGCCCAAAAAUCUCCUCCAUAUUCAAAUCCUCUUUCUUCAUAUCAUUAGGUAAUCUCCAAUUAAAUCCAUGCAACAAAUUAGCCAAACUUGAUUGUAUCACCUUAAGACCAAGAGGAUAACCAGGACACAUCCUUCUACCAGUACCAAAUGGCAACAACUCAUAAUCAUGUCCUUUUACAUCUAUAUUAUUACCAAUAAACCUCUCAGGUAUAAACUCAUAUGGAUUGUCCCAAACAUUAGGAUCUCUUCCAAUUGUCCAAGUAUUGACAAGAAUUAGAGUCCCUUUUGGGAUAUCAUAACCAUCAACAUUGCAAUCCUCACUAGCUUCUCUUGGCACUAACAAUGGUGCUGCAGGAUGAAGCCUCAUUGUUUCUUUAGCAAUUGCAAAAACAUAAGGUAAAUUGACAAUGUCUUUCUCUUCAACCCAUCUAUCUCUUCCUAUUACUUUGUCUAGUUCCUCCGUAGCUCUCUUGAUAAUCUCUGGCUUUUUCACAAGCUCGGAGAUUGCCCAUUCUACUGUUACUGUAGAUGUAUCUGUCCCACCUGCUAUUAAGUCCUACGAAAUAGAUAUAUAACAUAUGAUAUUGGUAUAGUCUUGUUUAGAUAAAUAGGUUAAUUGAGCAUCUAUGUAUAUAAGCAUUUAUAAGUGGGGUGCCAUUUAAUUUGGGAAAACACACUUUUUUCCUAUCAUGGGAAAGUUAAACCAAGACCAUAGAUUUAAUACUUUUUAAUUUGGAUGGCUCAUAUUCAUUACCUGUUAACUUUUUGAUGGGUUAUAUAAAACAAAAAUUGUGACCCCACCUCAUAAUUAAAUAACAUUUUCUUUUUUGUAUGUAGUAGUGGGCUUUGGCAAUAAUUUUUGGGCUUGUUAGUAAUGUUUGGGAUCAUACAUAUUAUUAUGUAUAUAAUGAAAAUGUUAACCUUACGUAUAUGGUAUUUAAAUUAGGGAAUAUGUAUUUUUUUUUUUGUUGAUACAAAGAAAAGAAAAUAAUUUUUUUUAUUUGAUUAAUGCUAAAAGGAAUUAUGAACCGAUAAAAAUGAUAGUUUAUUUGUAUGUUUGAAAAAAAACUGAUAAUCGAUUGAUUUUUAAGAAAAUGAUGUGUAAAUAAAAAAAAAACUUGGUGCAUUUUUCUUAAUUAAUAAUGUUAAUUACACAAAAAAGUAAAUCACAAUUUUUUAUUUUGUGGACUAAAUUAAACAGUACACAAUUGUUUUAAAAAAUAUGAGUUUGUUUUAGUCAUUGAACAUAAUAUCUCCUUUUUGUAAUUUGGGACAGGGUUACGGUUUGAAUGAUCAUCUUAGACAAAACCAUUUCGUUUAAGAUUGAGAAGAAUAUUUUUGUAAAUGGUAAUUAAUACAAUAUGGUACUUUUUAGUAACAAAUUAAUUUCAAGAAGAAUAUUUUUGUAAAUGAACGUACCACAUAAUGCCAAUUUUUAGUAACAAAUUAAUUGAGAAGAAUAUUCUUUCAAUCAUGGUUUUUCUUUUAUACAAAAAAUUGUAAAUAUAAUUACUGGUUACAUCGUUGAUUAGGCUGCCGUUAAUAUAAUUGUAAUUUUUGAUAAUCUGUUAAAAUAUAGUCAGUAUUAAUCAAUCAGUUUUGUGGUGUAAUGCGGAAAUGGGGAGGUGCAGUAGUAAGUUUGGAAAGAACAUUAAAAUAAUAAAUUGAGUUUUUUUUGUUUUUUUUUUUUGCAAGUUAAAAACCGACAAGUGUCCUUGGUAAAGAGACUUUCCCAUGGUGGAAAAAAAGUCUUCUUUCUCAAAUUAAAUUGCACCUAUAAGUGGAUAUAUAAAAUAAAGUCAAACUGAUUUCACAUAAACUAUAUAAUGUUAUCAUAAUUAUGGAGUUGUGAAAAUAAGCCCAAAACAACUUAUAAACAUGUCAUAAUUUGUUCUCAUAUAGCUCUUUUAAAAAGUCUCACAUGUGUUUAUAUAAAUAAACUUAAAUAAAUCAAUCCAAAUAGACUUUAAGGUCAAUAUUAUAAAGACCCUAAUUCUAAUAUUUUGAAAGAGCACAAAUUUAUUAAUACAUGAAAUGGUUGAAAAAAUACUAAGAAACUUGUGAAUGCAAUACUUCCCCUGUCCAUAUAACUGUCUUAACAUUUUCCGAAAAAACGGCCUUAUCAUUUAUUAAUUCUUGUAAAAACAGUAAUUUUAAUUGAUGUUUUUCCGCUGUACCUAUCUUUUACAAAUUCCUUUGUACCUUGUACUAUUUCACUUACACAUUAUUUCAUACAGUUUGUGUUUAGGAUAAUGAGAAUGAUUAAUGAACCUGAUUCAAACCGUAACACGAACACUAGAAAAAACCGAAUAAAUAUUAUAGAAAAAUUGUGGGAUCCAUUUAAAAUUUUAGUAAAGUUUACUAUUAAAAUAAAAAUUGAAUGAAUUGCUUCAAAGUUAUGUGCCGAAGUGAACCCACUUAAAACCUAUAAAGGAAAGUCACUAAUGGAAAAUACCCAUAGUGGAAUAGUUAGAGGUUAAUAUACAAUAAAUAAUUAAUAUCAGUAGAAAUGACAAUUAUAUAUGAAACAAAUGAGAUACUUAAAAAACAUAUAAUUAAUAUUUUUUCUAACCUGAGUAAAAGCUUUGACUCCGUGCCUCUCAAGUUUGACUUCAAGACUAGGAUUCUCUGCAAGCUUCAAAAGCACAUCCACCAUAUCUUUAGCAACAUAAUCAUUAACACAUUUCCUUCUUUCAAUGUGUUCCUCCAAUACAUGUUCCAUAAACCAAUCAAACUUCUUACCCAAAGUCUUCAUUCUCUUCACAUAACCUUGCAAGUCUAAGAAAUGAAUCCAAGGAAUAAAAUCCCCAACAUUGAGGACCCCAUUAAGCAAAAACAAUUCAUCUAACAUCUUCUUAAACUCUUCAGGGGAAAUAAUAGCAUUUUCACUCUUCUCCAAAUACUUUUUGCCCAAAACCAUGCGACUUAUAACAUUGAGACUCAAAGUUGAAAGAUGGUCCUUCAACAAAAUUGUUUUGUUUUUUGAAUUAAAUAGUUCGUGCAAGAAAGCAUGUAACUCUUGUUUUCUCAUGUACUCAUAAGACUCAAGGCGUUUUACACUAAACAGUUCUAGCAGACACAUUUUACGAGCUUGUUGCCAAUAUGGGCCAUAUUGGGACCAAGUAAUGUUGGAGUAGUUAUAAGUAGUAUAUUUUCCAGCGGAGAAUUUGGGCCGCCCAGCAAGGACAGCGUCGUUUGUUUUGAGGAAAACUUUGGCUAUUUCUGGGCUCGAUCCCACAAUGACAGGUUUAGAGCCGAACCAUAAAUGCAUGAUGGGUCCAUAUUUUUUAGUGAGCCCGUGGAGGGAUUGAUGUGGAAGUGAUCCAAUAAGAUUGAGAUUUCCUAUUAUGGGCCAUGAUUUUGGGCCAGGUGGUAGAUUGUAUUUACGGCGGUGGAGACGAAGACGGCGGCGGGUAAAGAGAAGAAGGAUGAUAAAUGUUGUAAAAAAAGUAACCCAAUUAGGAAGUGGCAAUAAUUCUACUACCAUUUCUAGUGAGUUUUGUGACUUUGUUUUGGUGUGAGAUUAGAGAGUGACUGUGAUGAAAUUAGAGAGUCAUUUAUUUAUAAUCAUAGUAGAGAAAGCUGUAGAUGAGGAUUACAUGGCCCCGUGAGUAGUGAGGCAAAAUAUCUCCAAUAGAUACACCUCUUUAUAAUCAAAUAUACUUCAUUUUCAAGCUUGUUUAAUUAUUAAACUUUAACGUAUUCAUUUAUUAAAACAAAUGGGUUCAAUCAAUGAGCAAUAAAAUAUACAUUAAUUUCUUAAUUAGGUUUAACUAACCUGUUCAAGCUUUUAUUUUAUUACAACAUGAAAGUUAUCUUGUCGGUUUGCAAACAUUAUCUUGGCAAAUCCAAAAAACUUAGUUGUUAAAAAUCAAGAAUGAGUUGGCUUGUCCAAAAAUAAUAAUUAUUGGAAGGACCACAUUGACCUAUAUAUUCUACUUGGAAGCAGUAGCGUUGCCAGGACCCUAGAUUAAGAGGUUUAAAAUUUUGAACUUUAAAAUUUUAUCUUGAACAUGUAUUUUGCUUUAAUAUUAAUAUCUUAAUAUAUCAAAAUUACAAAUACGUUCAUAAAUAUCUCUUUUAUUCGUCAUUUUAACCAUCAAAUUAGUUUUAGAUAGUCAAUUUUAUCUUAGAAUAUAUUUUGUCAUUGUUCUAUUUAAUCUAUAAAAUUACUAAAAAAAAGAUGCACUAAAGAUGUAUUUGCAAUUUCAAUACUCUUACGAAGUAUGAUAAGAUAAGAGUGUCUCACACAUUUAGGAUCAAAAAAGUUGGUUGUGUAUUUAGAGACAAAAAUAAAAGCUAAAUAUUUAAAGGUAAAUGUAGUAAAAUCAUACUCCCUCCGUCCCAAAUUAUAUGACGUUUUGGGCAUUUCACACAUAUUAAGAAAUGUAAUUAAUAUUGUGUGGGAAAGAGAUAUUAUGAGUUGUUUUACAAAAUUGUCCUCAAUAAAUGAUAUGGGAAAGAUAAAUGAAGGAAUUGAAAGAAGAGAGAGUAAUAAAUAGUUAAGGAUAUAAUAGGAAAAGUAACAUUAAUUUUUCAUUGGUAUUGUAAAGCGACAUACAAUUUGGGACAAAUAUUUUUUCUAAAGUGACAUACAUUUUGGGACGGAGGGAGUAAAAGUUUUUGUGAAAAAUCACCCCUUGUCGUUGGUACGAUAUGCUAGGAUGUUACUCUUACAAUUUUUAUUUGAAUUAUUCGGAAAAUGUUCAAUAAAUAAUUUUGUGUAAUUGUCAUUUGUAAAUAUCAAACAAUAAAUAAAUGAAAUAACAUGAUUCAUACACUGGAAUGAUAGGAGACACCAACAUAAAGCGCCUCCUCAAGAAAAAGAAAAAAGGGAGAUAUUGUUAGAUAGAAAUUUAGAAGGUGUAGGGUUCUUUGACAAAUUUUCAAGGGGUUCAAGUAGUAAUAAAUUGAGAUUAUUGGUUCAAUGUUGAAAUUUUGAGGGUGUGCAAUUGCACCCCUGGAUUAAGUGUGGCUCCGCAAGUGGUUGGGAGGGAAAUUUUAGAGAGUUUUUUGAGGAGGAUUUUGUAGGAUUUGGGUCUAUAUUUUAUUAUAUAUUUUAAAUUUUAAAAAAUUGGAAGACUAAAAUAAUAUAUGAUCACAGGCAGAAAUAUUUUAUAACUUGCUUAAUUUAAAAAAGAAAAACCAAUCCACACGUCCUCCAUUCACCAAAAUCUUCCUCCCAAAUGGGAGUGAAUUCUGUCGAUUGCCCUCCUCAUGUUUCUUUCCACCUUUGAUUUUUUUUUACUUCCUAAAAUCUCUCUUUCUCUCCUUUAAAAUAAAUGAUGGAAAUUUUAAUGGACUUUCAAGUCACAUGAAAUGACUCAUCCCCCUCCCAAACAGACUCCAAUAGUGUGUUUGAUUGUGAGAACAAAUUGAAAAGAGAGAAAGGCGUAAGAAAGAGAGUGUAAAAAAAGAAAGAGCCGAGGAAUAGAGUAAAUUUAAUGUGUGACUUUGUGAAAAUAAAAUUGUAAUGUUAGAUGAAAUUUAAAACAUUGCAAGAAACAUUGUUGGAAAUAUAUUGUAUUAUAGUCUUUAACUCGAUUCUAAUGUUGGAAACAAAAAAUUGUAUUGUUUUGAAAAACCGUCCAAACCAAUCCAAUCCAAACCGCAUUAGUUUGGUUCGAAUUUUAUUUUAAAAGUCAACCGAACCAAACCAAACCGCAUGCAUUUUUAUCAUGCGGUUCAGAUGACUUUUAACCUCAUAACCGAACCAAACCACACAUAAAAAAAUUUCAUCAGCAUUUUUAGUCCUUGUAAAAAAAUUUCGUCAACAUUUUUGGUCCCUAAAAUGCUUAAAAAAAAUGUCACGGAAACUAAAAAAUGAUUUUAUUUUGUAGAGACUAAAAACAAAAUUCUUAUAUUUAUAAAGACCAUUUACUUAAUUAACCUUACAAUUCAAACCCAUUCAUUAUGUUUUCAAGCACCUUCCCUUCUAAGCAAUAAGGAAAAGUCACAUAAGAGUACCAAAUGCAUUCCAUCAAAAAACAAAAAACAAGAGAUAGCAUAAUAUAAUAUACUAUUAUUUAAUAUUACAAACUCUAUAACAACUACAUCCUUCAGUUACUAUUAUAAGCAAAAAUUCAUAUUUUAGGUUCAUUCAAUAAAUGAUGUAUGUGACCUACAUUAUAAAUCACAUACAUCAUUUAUUGAAUGAAUCUAAAAUAUAAAUUUUUGAUGGAAUAUACUAUUGCACUCAUUACUAACCAACUUUCCAACAUCGUAUAUUCUUCAUUAUUACGCUUGCUUUUUUCUUUCUUCUCUUGUCAUGAAGUUAAUAACAUUGAACUCACAAAAAUCCCAUUAUUCCCAAUAUUAUUAGAGAAAAAUACUUAGAGGCAAUAAAGAUGAUACGGAAGUUUAGGCUCCAAAACAACUUCUAAUGGUAUUUUCUUAGGUGUAGUGAGCCCAAAAAUCUCCUCCAUAUUUAAAUCCUCUUUUUUCAUAUCAUUAGGUAAUCUCCAAUUAAAUCCAUGCAACAAGUUAGCCAAACUUG
This 14256-nucleotide long non-coding RNA is filed under the name Medicago truncatula (barrel medic). RNAcentral describes it as "long non-coding RNA (MTRU_LNC005939)". Lineage: Eukaryota; Viridiplantae; Streptophyta; Magnoliopsida; Fabales; Fabaceae. The record is from RNAcentral.